This 465-nucleotide ribosomal RNA is filed under the name Vreelandella stevensii. Its description in RNAcentral is "partial 16S ribosomal RNA". It matches the Rfam family "Bacterial small subunit ribosomal RNA", at positions 338 to 795 of the family's 1533-position model. The record is from RNAcentral. Lineage: Bacteria; Pseudomonadati; Pseudomonadota; Gammaproteobacteria; Oceanospirillales; Halomonadaceae.
CCUACGGGAGGCUGCAGUGGGGAAUAUUGGACAAUGGGCGAAAGCCUGAUCCAGCCAUGCCGCGUGUGUGAAGAAGGCCUUCGGGUUGUAAAGCACUUUCAGUGGGGAAGAAAGCCUUGUGGCUAAUACCCUCGAGGAAGGACAUCACCCACAGAAGAAGCACCGGCUAACUCCGUGCCAGCAGCCGCGGUAAUACGGAGGGUGCGAGCGUUAAUCGGAAUUACUGGGCGUAAAGCGCGCGUAGGCGGUCUGAUAAGCCGGUUGUGAAAGCCCCGGGCUCAACCUGGGAACGGCAUCCGGAACUGUCAGGCUAGAGUGCGGGAGAGGAAGGUAGAAUUCCCGGUGUAGCGGUGAAAUGCGUAGAGAUCGGGAGGAAUACCAGUGGCGAAGGCGGCCUUCUGGACUGACACUGACGCUGAGGUGCGAAAGCGUGGGUAGCAAACAGGAUUAGAUACCCUAGUAGUC